GACGAACGCUGGCGGCGUGCUUAACACAUGCAAGUCGAACGCUGAAGCUUGGUGCUUGCACUGGGUGGAUGAGUGGCGAACGGGUGAGUAAUACGUGAGUAACCUGCCCUUGACUCUGGGAUAAGCCUGGGAAACUGGGUCUAAUACUGGAUACGACAUGUCACCGCAUGGUGGUGUUUGGAAAGGGUUUUACUGGUUUUGGAUGGGCUCACGGCCUAUCAGCUUGUUGGUGGGGUAAUGGCUCACCAAGGCGACGACGGGUAGCCGGCCUGAGAGGGUGACCGGCCACACUGGGACUGAGACACGGCCCAGACUCCUACGGGAGGCAGCAGUGGGGAAUAUUGCACAAUGGGCGGAAGCCUGAUGCAGCGACGCCGCGUGAGGGAUGACGGCCUUCGGGUUGUAAACCUCUUUCAGCACGGAAGAAGCGAAAGUGACGGUACGUGCAGAAGAAGCGCCGGCUAACUACGUG
This 472-nucleotide ribosomal RNA is filed under the name uncultured bacterium. RNAcentral describes it as "partial 16S ribosomal RNA". It matches the Rfam family "Bacterial small subunit ribosomal RNA", at positions 28 to 507 of the family's 1533-position model. The record is from RNAcentral.